Molecule: long non-coding RNA, 471 nt
Organism: Cyanistes caeruleus (blue tit)
Lineage: Eukaryota; Metazoa; Chordata; Aves; Passeriformes; Paridae
Source: RefSeq, a predicted model, not a curated record
GGCAAGAAUUUGGAGAGACUAACGUUAAAAAUGAGAGGCUGCUGGAGUUCUCAAUCCAAAAAAACUACACAGGAGCUCAUGGAUUGGGAGCCAAAGCUUGGUGUGUUGUACUGAACUCUGAGCAGCAAACUCUUCCCCUUCAGACAUGAAUUCCCUUCCCAGUUGUGUUUUGCAGUGCUCCAUCUCAGCAGACCCUGCACUGAGCCUCUCCCUCUGCAGCCACGCUGAAGCAGAGAGGUUAUCCCAGCCGUUACCAUGGCUCCCAGGAAUGCAGAGAGAAGGAAAAUGGCAAGAUUAAAGGCAAGAUUUUCAUUUUGUUUGGAGUGUCUUCUCAGAUGGCACAAGUUUUCAAGUGACCACCUCCCUGAAAGAGGCACCAGCAAAUGACAACAGCUGCCAUUCCAGCAACACUUGGGAGCAGAUCCAGGAAUCAGAAACAGUUCAGAAAGAGAGUUACAAGGGAAAAAAAAA